Molecule: long non-coding RNA, 247 nt
Filed under: Elaeis guineensis (African oil palm)
Lineage: Eukaryota; Viridiplantae; Streptophyta; Magnoliopsida; Arecales; Arecaceae
Description: long non-coding RNA (EGUI_LNC041449)
Source: RNAcentral
CCUUUCAAAAUUUCUUGGAUUACGGUGGAUCAUGCAAAGACUCAGUGAAAGUUAUCUGGAAGAGCCUGCUUUAAUCCUGGUUAUCGUGAGAACGAAGAAACAAAAUUUUCGUCAAUCAAUGACAAUUUCAGAUUAUCUUGACUCCGUAAAUUGAUAUGAGAAAAGAAAAUCAUAUGCCUAUUCUAAUGAUAUUUAUUUUACUUUCCCUUUUAAUAAAAUAGCUGUGGGGCUUAUUAUUUAUUUUAUC